This 1399-nucleotide ribosomal RNA is filed under the name metagenome. RNAcentral's name for it is "bacterial LSU rRNA". It matches the Rfam family "Bacterial large subunit ribosomal RNA", at positions 1539 to 2925 of the family's 2925-position model. The record is from RNAcentral.
AAUACGCCGAGGCGUGAUGGAGGAACAACCCUUCGGGGGAGCCAAUUGUCCCUAAUCAGGCUGCCGAGAAAAGCCUCUAAGGAGAGACAAGACAGACCGUACCGUAAACCGACACAGGUGGGUGAGGAGAGUAUCCUAAGGUGCUCGAGAGAACCCUGGUGAAGGAACUCGGCAAAAUGGCUCCGUAACUUCGGGAGAAGGAGCGCCACAAGUACGUGAAGCGAUUCGCUCGUGAAGCAGAAAGUGGCCGCAGUGAAAAGGCGUUGGCGACUGUUUACUAAAAACACAGGUCUCUGCGAAAUCGAAAGAUGACGUAUAGGGACUGACACCUGCCCGGUGCCGAUCUGUUAAGAGGAGAGGUUAGCCUUCGGGCGAAGCUUUGAAUCGAAGCCUCGGUAAACGGCGGCCGUAACAAUAACGGUCCUAAGGUAGCGAAAUUCCUUGUCGGGUAAGUUCCGACCUGCACGAAUGGUGUAACGAUCGACGCGCUGUCUCCACCAGGGGCUCGGCGAAAUUGAGUUGGCGGUGAAAACGCCGCCUACCCGCGACUAGACGGAAAGACCCCGUGCACCUUUACUGCAACUUCACAUUGGGUCUUGGCAUUACUUGUGUAGGAUAGCUGGGAGGCUGUGAAACGGGCACGCCAGUGUUCGUGGAGCCAACGUUGAAAUACCAGCCUGGUGAUGUUAGGAUUCUAACUCCGUUCCGUAAUCCGGGCGGAGGACAGUGUGUGGUGGGUAGUUUGGCUGGGGCGGUCGCCUCCGAAAAAGUAACGGAGGCGCGCAAAGGUUCCCUCAGCGUGUUUGGUAAUCACGCGACGAGUGUAAUGGCAUAAGGGAGCUUAACUGCGAGACCUACAAGUCGAGCAGAUGCGAAAGCAGGUCAUAGUGAUCCGGCGGUCCCGCAUGGAAGGGCCGUUGCUCAUCGGAUAAAAGGUACGCCCGGGAUAACAGGCUGAUCUCCCCCAAGAGUCCACAUCGACGGGGAGGUUUGGCACCUCGAUGUCGGCUCAUCACAUCCUGGGGCUGGAGAAGGUCCCAAGGGUUUGGCUGUUCGCCAAUUAAAGUGGUACGCGAGCUGGGUUUAGAACGUCGUGAGACAGUUCGGUCCCUAUCUGUCGUGGGCGCAGGAGAUUUGAAGGAAGCUGUCCCUAGUACGAGAGGACCGGGAUGGACGUACCACUAGUGUACCAGUUGUCUCGCCAGAGGCAGUGCUGGGUAGCUAGGUACGGCCGGGAUAAACGCUGAAAGCAUAUAAGCGUGAAGCCCCUCCUAAGAUAAGAUCUCCCGGACGAAAGUCCCUGAAGGCUCGAGGUAGACUACCUCGUUGAUAGGCUACAGGUGUAAGCGCAGUAAUGCGUUCAGCCGAGUAGUACUAAUAAGCCGUGAGGCUUAAUCAU